This 482-nucleotide ribosomal RNA is filed under the name uncultured bacterium. RNAcentral describes it as "partial 16S ribosomal RNA". It matches the Rfam family "Bacterial small subunit ribosomal RNA", at positions 28 to 507 of the family's 1533-position model. The record is from RNAcentral.
GAUGAACGCUGGCGGCGUGCCUAAUACAUGCAAGUCGAACGCUUCACUUCGGUGAAUGGUGUCGAACGGGUGGUGAAUACAUAAUGAACCUGGCGUCGACAGGGGGCUAACUAGUGGGAACUUCAGCUAAGACCGCGUAGGUGUAGAGAUCGCAUUAACUCUAUAUGAAAAGUUCUACGGGACUGGUAGAUGAUGGUCUUGUGGCGCAUUAGCUUGUUGGUAGGGUAACGGCCUACCAAGGCGACGAUGCGUAGCCGACCUGAGAGGGUGACCGGCCACACUGGGACUGAGACACGGCCCAGACUCCUACGGGAGGCAGCAGUAGGGAAUUUUCGGCAAUGGGGGAAACCCUGACCGAGCAACGCCGCGUGAAGGAAGAAGUAAUUCGGUAUGUAAAAUUCUGUUAUAGAGGAAGAACGGUGGAUAUAGGGACUGAUAUCCAAGUGACGGUACUCUAUAAGAAAGCCACGGCUAACUACGUG